RNAcentral lists this ribosomal RNA (252 nucleotides) under uncultured bacterium. RNAcentral's name for it is "partial 16S ribosomal RNA". It matches the Rfam family "Bacterial small subunit ribosomal RNA", at positions 524 to 776 of the family's 1533-position model. The record is from RNAcentral.
UACGUAGGGGGCAAGCGUUGUCCGGAAUCAUUGGGCGUAAAGAGCGUGUAGGCGGCCCGAUAAGUCCGCCGUGAAAGUCCAGGGCUCAACCCUGGAAUGCCGGUGGAAACUGUCGGGCUCGAGUCCGGAAGAGGCGAGUGGAAUCCUGGUGUAGCGGUGAAAUGCGCAGAUAUCAGGAGGAACACCAAUGGCGAAGGCAGCUCGCUGGGACGGUACUGACGCUGAGACGCGAAAGCGUGGGGAGCAAACAGG